AUUGAACGCUGGCGGCAUGCCUUACACAUGCAAGUCGAACGACGCUAGGGGCAACUCUAGCGAGUGGCGAACGGGUGAGUAAUACAUCGGAACGUGUCCUGUCGUGGGGGAUAACCAGUCGAAAGAUUGGCUAAUACCGCAUGACCUCGUAAGAGAAAAGCGGGGGACCGCAAGGCCUCGCGCGAUUGGAGCGGCCGAUGUCGGAUUAGCUAGUUGGCGGGGUAAAAGCCCACCAAGGCGACGAUCCGUAGCUGGUUUGAGAGAACGACCAGCCACACUGGGACUGAGACACGGCCCAGACUCCUACGGGAGGCAGCAGUGGGGAAUUUUGGACAAUGGGCGCAAGCCUGAUCCAGCCAUGCCGCGUGUGUGAAGAAGGCCUUCGGGUUGUAAAGCACUUUCGGGCGGAACGAAAUCGCGCGGGUUAACAGCCCGCGUGGAUGACGGUACCGCAAGAAGAAGCACCGGCUAACUACGUGCCAGCAGCCGCCGUAA
Molecule: ribosomal RNA, 495 nt
Filed under: uncultured bacterium
Lineage: Bacteria
Description: partial 16S ribosomal RNA
Rfam family: Bacterial small subunit ribosomal RNA
Source: RNAcentral